This 301-nucleotide ribosomal RNA is filed under the name uncultured bacterium. RNAcentral's name for it is "partial 16S ribosomal RNA". It matches the Rfam family "Bacterial small subunit ribosomal RNA", at positions 509 to 807 of the family's 1533-position model. The record is from RNAcentral.
CAGUCGCCGCGGGAAUACGAAGGGUGCAAGCGUUACUCGGAAUUACUGGGCGUAAAGCGUGCGUAGGUGGUGGUUUAAGUCCGUUGUGAAAGCCCUGGGCUCAACCUGGGAAUUGCAGUGGAUACUGGAUCACUAGAGUGUGGUAGAGGAUAGUGGAAUUUCCGGUGUAGCAGUGAAAUGCGUAGAGAUCGGAAGGAACAUCUGUGGCGAAGGCGACUAUCUGGGCCAACACUGACACUGAGGCACGAAAGCGUGGGGAGCAAACAGGAUUAGAGACCCCCGUAGUCCCUGUCUCUUAUAC